GUAGUUACUUGGCGUACAAAUUACCACGAUCGCAAACACGGCUCCCCCGAAGUGAGGCUUGGCCAUUGCACUUUCGGCUGAGUUUUGACCUCCGCGAUUAUUCGUAAUGCGAAUAACUCGUGCGUGUAAUUUUUGGUAGCCGGGAAUGGCUUGCGCGCCAUCCCGAC
Glossina pallidipes is the source of this 167-nucleotide non-coding RNA. The record is from Rfam. Lineage: Eukaryota; Metazoa; Arthropoda; Insecta; Diptera; Glossinidae.